Molecule: ribosomal RNA, 433 nt
Filed under: uncultured bacterium
Lineage: Bacteria
Description: partial 16S ribosomal RNA
Rfam family: Bacterial small subunit ribosomal RNA
Source: RNAcentral
AGCGAACGCUGGCGGCAGGCUUAACACAUGCAAGUCGAGCGGGCCCUUCGGGGUCAGCGGCGGACGGGUGAGCAACGCGUGGGAACGUGCCUUCUGGUCUGGAAUAACCCUGGGAAACUAGGGCUAAUACCGGCUACGCUCUUGUGGGGAAAGGUUUACUGCCGGAAGAUCGGCCGGCGACUGAUUAGCUAGUUGGUGGGGUAACGGCCUACCACGGGGAGGAUCAGUAGCUGGUCUGAGAGGAUGAUCAGCCACACUGGGACUGAGACACGGCCCAGACUCUUACGGGAGGCAGCAGUGGGGAAUAUUGGACAGUGGGCGCAAGCCUGAUCCAGCCAUGCCGCGUGAGUGAUGAAGGCCUUAGGGUUGUAAAGCUCUUUUAUCCGGGACGAUAAUGACGGUACCGGAGGAAUAAGCCCCGGCUAACUUCGUG